Molecule: unclassified non-coding RNA, 352 nt
Filed under: soil metagenome
Description: partial contains 5.8S ribosomal RNA, internal transcribed spacer 2, and large subunit ribosomal RNA
Rfam family: 5.8S ribosomal RNA (bases 1-120)
Source: RNAcentral
GAUGAAGAACGUAGCGAAAUGCGAUAAGUAAUGUGAAUUGCAGAAUUCAGUGAAUCAUCGAAUCUUUGAACGCACAUUGCGCCCAUUAGUAUUCUAGUGGGCAUGCCUGUUCGAGCGUCAUUAUCACCCCUCAAGCCCGGCUUGUUGUUGGAUGCAGCGCUUAUCCCGCUCCUCCCAAAGAUAAUGACGGCGUCUGCGACGACUCCUGUACACUGAGCUUUCGGGCACGUACACGGCUAGAAGUCCAGACCCGGUCGCCGUCCCCCCCCGCGGGGGACACCCAUUACCACAAGGUUGACCUCGGAUCAGGUAGGAAUACCCGCUGAACUUAAGCAUAUCAAUAAGCGGAGGA